GAUGAACGCUGGCGGCGUGCCUAAUACAUGCAAGUCGAGCGAACGGACGAGAAGCUUGCUUCUCUGAUGUUAGCGGCGGACGGGUGAGUAACACGUGGAUAACCUACCUAUAAGACUGGGAUAACUUCGGGAAACCGGAGCUAAUACCGGAUAAUAUUUUGAACCGCAUGGUUCAAAAGUGAAAGACGGUCUUGCUGUCACUUAUAGAUGGAUCCGCGCUGCAUUAGCUAGUUGGUAAGGUAACGGCUUACCAAGGCAACGAUGCAUAGCCGACCUGAGAGGGUGAUCGGCCACACUGGAACUGAGACACGGUCCAGACUCCUACGGGAGGCAGCAGUAGGGAAUCUUCCGCAAUGGGCGAAAGCCUGACGGAGCAACGCCGCGUGAGUGAUGAAGGUCUUCGGAUCGUAAAACUCUGUUAUUAGGGAAGAACAUAUGUGUAAGUAACUGUGCACAUCUUGACGGUACCUAAUCAGAAAGCCACGGCUAACUACGUGCCAGCAGCCGCGGUAAUACGUAGGUGGCAAGCGUUAUCCGGAAUUAUUGGGCGUAAAGCGCGCGUAGGCGGUUUUUUAAGUCUGAUGUGAAAGCCCACGGCUCAACCGUGGAGGGUCAUUGGAAACUGGAAAACUUGAGUGCAGAAGAGGAAAGUGGAAUUCCAUGUGUAGCGGUGAAAUGCGCAGAGAUAUGGAGGAACACCAGUGGCGAAGGCGACUUUCUGGUCUGUAACUGACGCUGAUGUGCGAAAGCGUGGGGAUCAAACAGGAUUAGAUACCCUGGUAGUCCACGCCGUAAACGAUGAGUGCUAAGUGUUAGGGGGUUUCCGCCCCUUAGUGCUGCAGCUAACGCAUUAAGCACUCCGCCUGGGGAGUACGACCGCAAGGUUGAAACUCAAAGGAAUUGACGGGGACCCGCACAAGCGGUGGAGCAUGUGGUUUAAUUCGAAGCAACGCGAAGAACCGUACCAAAUCUUGACAUCCUUUGACAACUCUAGAGAUAGAGCCUUCCCCUUCGGGGGACAAAGUGACAGGUGGUGCAUGGUUGUCGUCAGCUCGUGUCGUGAGAUGUUGGGUUAAGUCCCGCAACGAGCGCAACCCUUAAGCUUAGUUGCCAUCAUUAAGUUGGGCACUCUAAGUUGACUGCCGGUGACAAACCGGAGGAAGGUGGGGAUGACGUCAAAUCAUCAUGCCCCUUAUGAUUUGGGCUACACACGUGCUACAAUGGACAAUACAAAGGGCAGCGAAACCGCGAGGUCAAGCAAAUCCCAUAAAGUUGUUCUCAGUUCGGAUUGUAGUCUGCAACUCGACUACAUGAAGCUGGAAUCGCUAGUAAUCGUAGAUCAGCAUGCUACGGUGAAUACGUUCCCGGGUCU
This 1372-nucleotide ribosomal RNA is filed under the name uncultured bacterium. RNAcentral's name for it is "bacterial SSU rRNA". It matches the Rfam family "Bacterial small subunit ribosomal RNA", at positions 28 to 1381 of the family's 1533-position model. The record is from RNAcentral.